ACCUCCUUGAGCCAAGUUUUAAGAAACAAACACCAAGGUCACCCAAGCGGCUUGUUUUCAGCAAACUAAAGGAGAAAUUAAGGUGACAACCGCGUGCAUCCAGAGUUAGUCAGAUCCUGAAGGCAGUUCCUUUGGGAAACGGAGGAGCAGCGCGCCAGAUGACGCCUACCUUACAGCGCACCCCUCAGAGGCACUGCUACGAAAGGAAGGCAGAAGAAAAACGAGGGGACUGGUUGUCCCAAGUCAGCCAGGGAACUUAUCUUUGGUCGAUGCACCAAGCAACUCAGCUCUCUUGGGGAAACUUAAAUAGAACAGACAGAUCUCCAAAGGGAUACAAAAAAUAAAUCCAAUGAUAAAAACCCAACCGACACAUCCCAUACCCCAGCUUAUUGAACAGCACAAGGGUUUAAUCUACAGGCUCUGUCCAAAGCAGCAAGAAGUGACAGAUUUAAGCCAAACCAGUUGCCCGCUCUCACUCUCUGAUCUGGAGGUGUUAUUUGACAAGCAUGCCUAUCAGUAACACUUGUAAACGCUGGGUUACUGCACCACAGCCCCAGAUCCCUCACGGGCCCACUAAGAUAGUUUUAGUGAUUGAUCCACAAUAAACACUCCCAAAAAGAUUCUCAACAAGUUAAACCCUGGUUAGAAAGAAUCUGAGGAACCUGUCACUGCAGCAACAAAGGGCUGCAACUGUGUGCAAAAUCUCCAACACCCUCCUUAGCACCCUGCUAGCUCAAGGACUGUGUGGGGCUUCCGUGCCCUGAAUGAGUCCACCCUGGCCACAUAAUGCGGAUGUAAUGUUCAAGAAAGCACAUAUCGUUAUCGAAACUUAUCAGAUCCACAGCAAAAAGAAAAGCCCACGCUUCUAUAUUUCUCCUCCUUCUCCAUUCACAGAAGGAAGAGACUGAAAAGAAGCAGAUUUGUCUUUUACAUUUACCGUUAAUGUGAAAAAUGUGUAUUUGGGAAAUACAUCACGUAUUGUUUCAAGCUACAAAAAACUCGCUCCCACAAAGGAAGGACUUUUGACCUCAGCAUGCAACCCCAGUUACAAAUAACUUCCUGUCUACCAGCGGGCCGCGUUCCCCUGGCACUCAG
Cygnus olor (mute swan) is the source of this 1095-nucleotide long non-coding RNA. RefSeq lists it as uncharacterized. The transcript is spliced from 2 exons. NCBI's taxonomy places the organism in Eukaryota, Metazoa, Chordata, Aves, Anseriformes, Anatidae. The record is from RefSeq and is a predicted model, not a curated record.